RNAcentral lists this ribosomal RNA (1064 nucleotides) under Vibrio aestuarianus. Its description in RNAcentral is "bacterial SSU rRNA". It matches the Rfam family "Bacterial small subunit ribosomal RNA", at positions 42 to 1089 of the family's 1533-position model. The record is from RNAcentral. Lineage: Bacteria; Pseudomonadati; Pseudomonadota; Gammaproteobacteria; Vibrionales; Vibrionaceae.
GCAGGCCUAACACAUGCAAGUCGAGCGGAAACGACACUAACAAUCUUCGGGUGCGUUAAUGGGCGUCGAGCGGCGGACGGGUGAGUAAUGCCUAGGAAAUUGCCUUGAUGUGGGGGAUAACCAUUGGAAACGAUGGCUAAUACCGCAUAAUGCCUACGGGCCAAAGAGGGGGACCUUCGGGCCUCUCGCGUCAAGAUAUGCCUAGGUGGGAUUAGCUAGUUGGUGAGGUAAUGGCUCACCAAGGCGACGAUCCCUAGCUGGUCUGAGAGGAUGAUCAGCCACACUGGAACUGAGACACGGUCCAGACUCCUACGGGAGGCAGCAGUGGGGAAUAUUGCACAAUGGGCGAAACUGAUUGCAGCCAUGCCGCGUGUAUGAAGAAGGCCUUCGGGUUGUAAAGUACUUUCAGUUGUGAGGAAGGGGGUAGUGUUAAUAGCGCUAUCUCUUGACGUUAGCAACAGAAGAAGCACCGGCUAACUCCGUGCCAGCAGCCGCGUUAAUACGGAGGGUGCGAGCGUUAAUCGGAAUUACUGGGCGUAAAGCGCAUGCAGGUGGUUCAUUAAGUCAGAUGUGAAAGCCCGGGGCUCAACCUCGGAACUGCAUUUGAAACUGGUGAACUAGAGUACUGUAGAGGGGGGUAGAAUUUCAGGUGUAGCGGUGAAAUGCGUAGAGAUCUGAAGGAAUACCAGUGGCGAAGGCGGCCCCCUGGACAGAUACUGACACUCAGAUGCGAAAGCUGGGGGAGCAAACAGGAUUAGAUACCCUGGUAGUCCACGCCGUAAACGAUGUCUACUUGGAGGUUGUGGCCUUGAGCCGUGGCUUUCGGAGCUAACGCGUUAAGUAGACCGCCUGGGGAGUACGGUCGCAAGAUUAAAACUCAAAUGAAUUGACGGGGGCCCGCACAAGCGGUGGAGCAUGUGGUUUAAUUCGAUGCAACGCGAAGAACCUUACCUACUCUUGACAUCCAGAGAAGCCAGCGGAGACGNAGGUGUGCCUUCGGGAACUCUGARACAGGUGAACGASGCAACCUUAUCUUGUUUGCAGSGAKUAUGUCGGRACUCCAG